This 62-nucleotide unclassified non-coding RNA is filed under the name Brucella sp. 191011898. RNAcentral's name for it is "BASRCI408". Lineage: Bacteria; Pseudomonadati; Pseudomonadota; Alphaproteobacteria; Hyphomicrobiales; Brucellaceae. The record is from RNAcentral.
GGGAUUAGGGCGCAUCUUGAAAAGUGUGAAACGGUUUUCGGAAAAGAUGCGAGUCAAAACAA